Molecule: non-coding RNA, 528 nt
Organism: Pelobates cultripes (western spadefoot toad)
Lineage: Eukaryota; Metazoa; Chordata; Amphibia; Anura; Pelobatidae
Source: the annotation of a GenBank genome assembly
AAAGGAUCAAGACCUGUUUGUACCACUGCUUCGCCUGACAGCUAAAGAACCAGUUUGGCGUCUGGUUUGUCUGUUGUUUUACUGCUGACCUUCAAAUCAACUUUAACCCCUGACUCCUACAAGCAUAUAUCAUGACAAGAGCCUGUUUAACACAAAUGGUACCCAUCUAAAGGGGAAGAGAGUCAAGAUUUCCUUUUUUUAUGAAGAAUUUGGUUUUUCACCCCUCUUUUCUCAUUCACCACAGGUGAAAUCCUUCCUAGCAGCUGGCUUAUGAAAUAUUGUGAUGGGAGGCCUUAUUAAGUUGAAAGCAACCUCAGCUGGAGAUUAAUGUAUGCAAAUGAGAUGCACAAACAAAGGAUCCUGGACAGAGAAAUAUCUGCAAAUCCAGCAAAAUGCUGCCCGCAGCUAGAAGAAGAACAACAGCUUUGAUAAAAUGGUAACAAAAAAGCACCUUUUUUAUCCUGCAGCAUGUUUUACAUUGCAAUAGACCAUUGUCAUUGUAACCCAUCAGGGCAUGCCGAGUUUCUC